UACGUAGGUGACAAGCGUUAUCCGGAAUUACUGGGCGUAAAGCGCACGCAGGCGGCGCAUUAAGUCUGACGUGAAAUCUCCUGGCUUAACUGGGAGGGGUCGUUGGAGACUGAUGUGCUUGAGGCGAUGAGAGGGGUGUAGAAUUCCCGGUGUAGUGGUGGAAUGCGUAGAUAUCGGGAGGAAUACCAGUGGCGAAAGCGACGCGCUGGCAUUAGCCUGACGCUCAUGUGCGAAGGCGUGGGGAG
This 245-nucleotide ribosomal RNA is filed under the name uncultured bacterium. RNAcentral describes it as "partial 16S ribosomal RNA". It matches the Rfam family "Bacterial small subunit ribosomal RNA", at positions 524 to 768 of the family's 1533-position model. The record is from RNAcentral.